AUGUCAGACGCAGCCGUGGACACCAGCUCCGAAAUCACCACCAAGGACUUAAAGGAGAAGAAGGAAGUUGUGGAAGAGGCGGAAAAUGGAAGAGACGCCCCUGCUGACGAGGAAAAUGGGGAGCAAGAGGCUGACAAUGAAGUAGAUGAAGAACAGGAAGAAGGUGGGGAGGAAGAGGAGGAGGAAGAAGAAGGUGAGGGUGAGGAAGAAGGAUGGAGAUGA
RNAcentral lists this long non-coding RNA (222 nucleotides) under Homo sapiens (human). RNAcentral's name for it is "non-protein coding lnc-CPSF2-2:2". The record is from RNAcentral. Lineage: Eukaryota; Metazoa; Chordata; Mammalia; Primates; Hominidae.